This 256-nucleotide unclassified non-coding RNA is filed under the name Arachnopeziza sp. RNAcentral describes it as "partial internal transcribed spacer region". The stretch from base 1 to 46 matches the Rfam family "Eukaryotic small subunit ribosomal RNA", at positions 1786 to 1831 of the family's 1831-position model. The record is from RNAcentral. Lineage: Eukaryota; Fungi; Ascomycota; Leotiomycetes; Helotiales; Arachnopezizaceae.
AAGUCGUAACAAGGUUUCCGUAGGUGAACCUGCGGAAGGAUCAUUAAAAGGUUUAUCUGGGGGGUGGGUGAAACCCCCCCGGAAAACUCCACCCUUGUGUAUUAUUACUUGUUGCUUUGGUGGGCCGCGAGAUUGCCUAGCGAUUGAGCACCGGCUUCGGCUGGAGAGCGCCUGCCAGAGGACCAAACUCUGUUAUUUAUGUCGUCUGAGUACUAUUUAAUAGUUAAAACUUUCAACAACGGAUCUCUUGGUUCUG